CAGAGGGUGGGGUGCCUCGUCCCCACCCACCUGCCCAUGCAAGUACUAAUGCGCCAUGGCCGCUCUCCUGGGGCGCUCCUCGGCCUCACUGUGACCUUUCUGCCAGAGCUCCCAGCCAGGCCUCCUCUGCUGAGGUGGCGCUUCCUAAGGACCCUUCUCGCCCUCUCUGCCCUCCUUCCCACCCAUGUGCUGAGCCGCCACAAAGACCAAAGAAGUGAUGGCUUUUCUCUGUCCCCUGCUGCUCUGGGGGGAGGGGGUGGGAAAGUCCUUAGCUCAGCCAUCCCUUCUCAGCAGCCCCAAGCUUUACACUGGACACAGCGCCCACUCCACCACCAAGCCUCCCUCUCCCUCUAGCCCCUCUAGCCCCUCCCUCUAGCCGGUGCCUGCUCUGGAGCUGGGAGUUGGUUCAUGCCAGCCUCCCCCAGCCCUGUGUGCUUCCUCUGGGCUGCAGCCCUCCAGCUGCAGCCUCUGGGGAGAAGCAGCCUCCCUUCUCUCCCUCCCUCCAUACCUCCCUCCUUCCCUUCCUCUCUCCCUCCCUCGCCCCUGUCUCCGCCAGGUGCCUCCUCUCAGUCAAGCUUCUGAGCAGCCCUGGAGACAGGAGGGCCAUGUUAAAAGCUUUUUCACAGUUUUAAGAAGACUAGGGGGGUGAGGCUAGUAGUGGGGGGUCUGGCACCAUCUCAUUGCUUUAAUCUCAGCGACACAGGUGGCAGCUUCUCCCCCUUCCUGCCCACCCCAGGUCCUCUUCCCACCCCUCUCUUCUAGCUUGGUAAUGAAGUGUAUUUAUUGGUGAAGGAAACAGCUGCUGCUGCGGCUCCUGCUGCUGGGACUUGCUCCCCUGCUCUUCCUCAUGACCUUUCUCAAGCCAGGGAGGGGAGCGGGAGUGUUGGGCUAGACCCUGGGGCUCGAGAACUGGCCAGGGUCCCUUUGCUUUCCUAUGUUGAAGCCACCUGCCAUUCCCCCGUCCCUGCCUCCUGUCUCCCACCCGCCUGCCUAGCCUGGACCCUGCAGUGUGGAGAGACACAUAAGCCUUACUGUCCUCUGGGGGCAGGAGCCGAGCCUUUUUGUUGCUCUGCUCCCAGGAGAGUGAGGGUGACGCAAUUGAUUAAAACCAUUUUGUUCUACUUGU
This 1126-nucleotide long non-coding RNA is filed under the name Rattus norvegicus (Norway rat). RNAcentral's name for it is "long non-coding RNA NONRATT023682". The record is from RNAcentral. Lineage: Eukaryota; Metazoa; Chordata; Mammalia; Rodentia; Muridae.